This 29-nucleotide non-coding RNA is filed under the name Mus musculus (house mouse). Lineage: Eukaryota; Metazoa; Chordata; Mammalia; Rodentia; Muridae. The record is from RNAcentral.
UGUUUGCAAAUGAAGUUGGCUAGUGCUAC